Molecule: ribosomal RNA, 419 nt
Filed under: uncultured bacterium
Lineage: Bacteria
Description: bacterial SSU rRNA
Rfam family: Bacterial small subunit ribosomal RNA
Source: RNAcentral
GAAUAUUGCACAAUGGGCGCAAGCCUGAUGCAGCGACGCCGCGUGAGGGAUGGAGGCCUUCGGGUUGUAAACCUCUUUCGCCAGUGAAGCAGGCCCGCCUCUUUUGUGGGUGGGUUGACGGUAGCUGGAUAAGAAGCGCCGGCUAACUACGUGCCAGCAGCCGCGGUAAUACGUAGGGCGCGAGCGUUGUCCGGAAUUAUUGGGCGUAAAGAGCUCGUAGGCGGCUGGUCGCGUCUGUCGUGAAAUCCUCUGGCUUAACUGGGGGCUUGCGGUGGGUACGGGCCGGCUUGAGUGCGGUAGGGGAGACUGGAACUCCUGGUGUAGCGGUGGAAUGCGCAGAUAUCAGGAAGAACACCGGUGGCGAAGGCGGGUCUCUGGGCCGUUACUGACGCUGAGGAGCGAAAGCGUGGGGAGCGAAC